Triticum aestivum (bread wheat) is the source of this 97-nucleotide non-coding RNA. The record is from Rfam. Lineage: Eukaryota; Viridiplantae; Streptophyta; Magnoliopsida; Poales; Poaceae.
ACAUGGCUGUGAUGAUAAACACUUUCAGCAAACAUGCCAGUUCUGCUUCUGACAAUUCAUGACUGAAAAACCUGUUAAUACAAUAUCUGAGCCGUUG